Molecule: ribosomal RNA, 507 nt
Filed under: Citrobacter sp. ssc4A
Lineage: Bacteria; Pseudomonadati; Pseudomonadota; Gammaproteobacteria; Enterobacterales; Enterobacteriaceae
Description: bacterial SSU rRNA
Rfam family: Bacterial small subunit ribosomal RNA
Source: RNAcentral
GCACAAGCGGUGGAGCAUGUGGUUUAAUUCGAUGCAACGCGAAGAACCUUACCUGGUCUUGACAUCCACAGAACUUGGCAGAGAUGGAUAGGUGCCUUCGGGAACUGUGAGACAGGUGCUGCAUGGCUGUCGUCAGCUCGUGUUGUGAAAUGUUGGGUUAAGUCCCGCAACGAGCGCAACCCUUAUCCUUUGUUGCCAGCGGUCCGGCCGGGAACUCAAAGGAGACUGCCAGUGAUAAACUGGAGGAAGGUGGGGAUGACGUCAAGUCAUCAUGGCCCUUACGACCAGGGCUACACACGUGCUACAAUGGCAUAUACAAAGAGAAGCGACCUCGCGAGAGCAAGCGGACCUCAUAAAGUAUGUCGUAGUCCGGAUUGGAGUCUGCAACUCGACUCCAUGAAGUCGGAAUCGCUAGUAAUCGUGGAUCAGAAUGCCACGGUGAAUACGUUCCCGGGCCUUGUACACACCGCCCGUCACACCAUGGGAGUGGGUUGCAAAAGAAGUAGG